Molecule: ribosomal RNA, 429 nt
Filed under: Chloroflexota bacterium
Lineage: Bacteria; Bacillati; Chloroflexota
Description: Chloroflexi bacterium partial 16S ribosomal RNA
Rfam family: Bacterial small subunit ribosomal RNA
Source: RNAcentral
UGGGGAAUAUUGCACAAUGGGCGCAAGCCUGAUGCAGCCAUGCCGCGUGUAUGAAGAAGGCCUUCGGGUUGUAAAGUACUUUCAGUCGGGAGGAAGGUGGUAAGGUUAAUAACCUUAUCAAUUGACGUUACCGACAGAAGAAGCACCGGCUAACUCCGUGCCAGCAGCCGCGGUAAUACGGAGGGUGCAAGCGUUAAUCGGAAUUACUGGGCGUAAAGCGCACGCAGGCGGUUGAUUGAGUCAGAUGUGAAAUCACCGGGCUUAACCCGGGAAUUGCAUGUGAUACUGGUCAGCUAGAGUGUGGUAGAGAGGGGUAGAAUUCCAUGUGUAGCGGUGAAAUGCGUAGAGAUGUGGAGGAAUACCGGUGGGGGAGGCGGCCCCCUGGACAAAGACUGACGCUCAGGUGCGAAAGCGUGGGGAGCAAACAGG